This 254-nucleotide ribosomal RNA is filed under the name uncultured bacterium. Its description in RNAcentral is "partial 16S ribosomal RNA". It matches the Rfam family "Bacterial small subunit ribosomal RNA", at positions 524 to 776 of the family's 1533-position model. The record is from RNAcentral.
UACGAAGGGGGCUAGCGUUGUUCGGAAUUACUGGGCGUAAAGGGCGCGCAGGCGGCUGCUCAAGUCAGGCGUGAAAGGCCUGGGCUCAACCCGGGAAUUGCGCUUGAGACUGGGCUGGCUUGAGUGCGGGAGAGGAUGGUGGAAUUCCCAGUGUAGAGGUGAAAUUCGUAGAUAUUCGGCGGAACACCAGUGGCGAAGGCGACUCACUGGCCCGAUACUGACGCUGAGGCGCGAAAGCGUGGGGAGCAAACAGG